UCAGUAACACGUGGAUAAUCUGCCCUUAGGUGGAGGAUACCCUCGGGAAACUGAGAAUAAUACUCCAUAGGUCUAGGAUGCUGGAAUGCACUUAGACUGAAAACUCCGGUGCCUAAGGAUGAGUCUGCGGACUAUCAGGUAGUAGUCAGGGUAAAGACCUGACUAGCCUACGACGGAUACGGGUUGUGAGAGCAAUAACCCGGAGAUGAUAUCUGAGACACGAUAUCAGGCCCUACGGGGCGCAGCAGGCGCGAAAACUUCACAAUGCGCGAAAGCGCGAUGAGGGAAUCCCAAGUGCUUGCACGUAAGUGUAAGCUGUUUCUAUGUUUAAAACGCAUAGAGAGUAAGGGCUGGGUAAGACGGGUGCCAGCCGCCGCGGUAAUACCUACAGCUCGAGUGGUGGCCGCUAUUAUUGGGCCUAAAACGUCCGUAGCCGGUUUAAUAAAUGCCUGGGUAAAUCGUAUAGCUUAACUAUACGAAUUCCGGGUAGACUGCUAAACUUGAGACCGGGGGAAGUUAGAGGUACUCCUGGGGUAGAGGUGAAAUUCUGUAAUCCUAGGGGGACCACCGGUGGCGAAGGCGUCUGACUAAAACGGGUCUGACGGUGAGGGACGAAGCCCUGGGGCGCAAACGGGAUUAGAUACCCCGGUAGUCCAGGGUGUAAACGCUGCUUGCUUGAUGUUAGUCGGGCUUCGAGCCCGAUUAGUGUCGGAGAGAAGUUGUUAAGCAAGCUGCCUGGGAGUACGGCCGCAGACUGAAACUUA
Molecule: ribosomal RNA, 764 nt
Filed under: uncultured archaeon
Lineage: Archaea
Description: bacterial SSU rRNA
Rfam family: Archaeal small subunit ribosomal RNA
Source: RNAcentral